UGCAGUCGAACGCUUCUUUUUCCACCGGAGCUUGCUCCACCGGAAAAAGAGGAGUGGCGAACGGGUGAGUAACACGUGGGUAACCUGCCCAUCAGAAGGGGAUAACACUUGGAAACAGGUGCUAAUACCGUAUAACAAUCAAAACCGCAUGGUUUUGAUUUGAAAGGCGCUUUCGGGUGUCGCUGAUGGAUGGACCCGCGGUGCAUUAGCUAGUUGGUGAGGUAACGGCUCACCAAGGCCACGAUGCAUAGCCGACCUGAGAGGGUGAUCGGCCACAUUGGGACUGAGACACGGCCCAAACUCCUACGGGAGGCAGCAGUAGGGAAUCUUCGGCAAUGGACGAAAGUCUGACCGAGCAACGCCGCGUGAGUGAAGAAGGUUUUCGGAUCGUAAAACUCUGUUGUUAGAGAAGAACAAGGAUGAGAGUAACUGUUCAUCCCUUGACGGUAUCUAACCAGAAAGCCACGGCUAACUACGUGCCAGCAGCCGCGGUAAUACGUAGGUGGCAAGCGUUGUCCGGAUUUAUUGGGCGUAAAGCGAGCGCAGGCGGUUUCUUAAGUCUGAUGUGAAAGCCCCCGGCUCAACCGGGGAGGGUCAUUGGAAACUGGGAGACUUGAGUGCAGAAGAGGAGAGUGGAAUUCCAUGUGUAGCGGUGAAAUGCGUAGAUAUAUGGAGGAACACCAGUGGCGAAGGCGGCUCUCUGGUCUGUAACUGACGCUGAGGCUCGAAAGCGUGGGGAGCAAACAGGAUUAGAUACCCUGGUAGUCCACGCCGUAAACGAUGAGUGCUAAGUGUUGGAGGGUUUCCGCCCUUCAGUGCUGCAGCUAACGCAUUAAGCACUCCGCCUGGGGAGUACGACCGCAAGGUUGAAACUCAAAGGAAUUGACGGGGGCCCGCACAAGCGGUGGAGCAUGUGGUUUAAUUCGAAGCAACGCGAAGAACCUUACCAGGUCUUGACAUCCUUUGACCACUCUAGAGAUAGAGCUUCCCCUUCGGGGC
RNAcentral lists this ribosomal RNA (999 nucleotides) under Enterococcus faecium. Its description in RNAcentral is "bacterial SSU rRNA". It matches the Rfam family "Bacterial small subunit ribosomal RNA", at positions 56 to 1027 of the family's 1533-position model. The record is from RNAcentral. Lineage: Bacteria; Bacillati; Bacillota; Bacilli; Lactobacillales; Enterococcaceae.